Molecule: long non-coding RNA, 728 nt
Organism: Benincasa hispida (wax gourd)
Lineage: Eukaryota; Viridiplantae; Streptophyta; Magnoliopsida; Cucurbitales; Cucurbitaceae
Source: RefSeq, a predicted model, not a curated record
GGGGAAUAGGAAGGAAAUAAAAUAAAAUAUCCUUUUCUUUUUCUUUCCUUUUUCUUUUUUCCUCUUUUUCUUCUCCCCUUCCAUCUUCUUCCUCACGCAAACCCAGCAUCUCCGUCGCCGGCUUCGACCAACAUCUCUUGUCGCCGACCUCGACCAACAUCUCCUUGCUGCUGACCUUGACCACCAACUCAGAUCCAAGCCGCGAGCAACCCAGCUUCGACUUGGGCUUCUUCGCACCUCAACUGUUCGCGGCAUCCAGAUUUGAUUCCAGUCUCCCACGCCGAGCCGCCCGCGUUCGCGUCGCCCAGAUCUGAUUCCUGUCUCCCACCGAAGCCACUGCCUAGAACUGCUCCCACCAAUUGAAGCCGCGACGUCGACGCCCAGCCGCCCAGGUCUGCGCCGCCUAGACAUACGCACUCCCAGCCAGCCGUGCCCUCCCCUCGCCGUUAGCUUGACCUUGUCGUCGAACCAGUUUCCACCGCAAAUCUCCUUCGCCACUUGGUUCUUAUGGAAUCUUGGUUGGAGUUAAUUGGGGUGGUUUGGAGGAGAAUUUGUGCAUUGUCCAGCGGGUGUCGAAGUUCCUUCUUCGUGGCGAUUUGAUUCAAGACUUGAGACGUUUAGGGUGUUGCUCAUCAAAUUAAAGGCCAAUUAUCUUUUGAAGUUUGGUAAAGGUAGAGAUGCACCAGCGAUGGACAAGCGGAAUUCGUGAUCGAGCCACUGGGACUAGU